This 86-nucleotide transfer RNA is filed under the name Blautia hansenii DSM 20583. RNAcentral's name for it is "tRNA-Tyr". It matches the Rfam family "tRNA". Rfam says of the family: Transfer RNA (tRNA) molecules are approximately 80 nucleotides in length. Their secondary structure includes four short double-helical elements and three loops (D, anti-codon, and T loops). Further hydrogen bonds mediate the characteristic L-shaped molecular structure. tRNAs have two regions of fundamental functional importance: the anti-codon, which is responsible for specific mRNA codon recognition, and the 3' end, to which the tRNAs corresponding amino acid is attached (by aminoacyl-tRNA synthetases). tRNAs cope with the degeneracy of the genetic code in two manners: having more than one tRNA (with a specific anti-codon) for a particular amino acid; and 'wobble' base-pairing, i.e. permitting non-standard base-pairing at the 3rd anti-codon position. Lineage: Bacteria; Bacillati; Bacillota; Clostridia; Lachnospirales; Lachnospiraceae. The record is from RNAcentral. RNAcentral also lists the same sequence under 1 other name.
CGGAGUGUAAAUCGCUAAGGAAGGCGAGCAGGUCUGUAAAACCUGUGUCAUUGCGACUUGAGUGGGUUCAAUUCCCUCUACUCCGA